This 24-nucleotide non-coding RNA is filed under the name Mus musculus (house mouse). Lineage: Eukaryota; Metazoa; Chordata; Mammalia; Rodentia; Muridae. The record is from RNAcentral.
UGACCGCUGUGGGAAGCACUUUGG